RNAcentral lists this long non-coding RNA (444 nucleotides) under Mus pahari (shrew mouse). RNAcentral's name for it is "lncRNA (MGP_PahariEiJ_G0033059.1)". Lineage: Eukaryota; Metazoa; Chordata; Mammalia; Rodentia; Muridae. The record is from RNAcentral.
GCACCACUAUCCAACAGAAAAAAAAACAUUCUUAAGGUUUUUAAUUACAUUCUUUUAUGUCUGGGUUUAAUGCAUGGCUUUAGGUUUUAUCUGUCUGUCUCCUGUUCCCCCUUUCCUAUUCCCCCUUUAUUUUUCAAGCCAGGGUUUCCUUGUGUAGCUCUGGCUGUAUUGAUGAGGCUGGCUUGAAAUCAGAGAUCCCCCUGUGCUGGCUCCCAAGUCCUGGAUUAAAGGUGUGCUUUAAUUCACCAUCACUUGUCCUCAUUGUUGUCUUUACCACUGGUUUUUGUUUUAUUUUCUGAGAUAGGCUAGGUGCUUGCUUUGUAUUUUCUGAAUCCUUACUGUAGGUGCUGUGCCUCAUUUUAUUUAUUAAGGAAAUACCAUGUAGUGCUCCAGUCUUUUUACUGGUUGGUUUUGUUUUCUUCUUUUUAGGGUAGUACUGGGGAU